RNAcentral lists this transfer RNA (65 nucleotides) under Endochironomus pekanus. Its description in RNAcentral is "tRNA-Arg". The record is from RNAcentral. Lineage: Eukaryota; Metazoa; Arthropoda; Insecta; Diptera; Chironomidae.
AAAUAAGAAGCAAAAAAUUGUGAUUAGUUUCGACCUAAUUUUAGAUAUAAAUAUAUCCUUAUUUU